UACGUAGGUCCCGAGCGUUGUCCGGAUUUAUUGGGCGUAAAGCGAGCGCAGGUGGUUUAUUAAGUCUGGUGUAAAAGGCAGUGGCUCAACCAUUGUAUGCAUUGGAAACUGGUAGACUUGAGUGCAGGAGAGGAGAGUGGAAUUCCAUGCUUAGCGGUGAAAUGCGUAGAUAUAUGGAGGAACACCGGUGGCGAAAGCGGCUCUCUGGCCUGUAACUGACACUGAGGCGCGAAAGCGUGGGGAGCAAACAGG
Molecule: ribosomal RNA, 252 nt
Filed under: uncultured bacterium
Lineage: Bacteria
Description: partial 16S ribosomal RNA
Rfam family: Bacterial small subunit ribosomal RNA
Source: RNAcentral